GUCUACAGCAACAACACCCUGAACAAGCCCGAUCCCGUCUGAUCUCGGAAGCUAAGCAGGGUUGGGCCUGGUUAGUACUUGGAUAUGGGAGACCACCUAGGAAGACCAGGUGCUGUAGGUG
This 121-nucleotide ribosomal RNA is filed under the name Pteropus alecto (black flying fox). The record is from RNAcentral. Lineage: Eukaryota; Metazoa; Chordata; Mammalia; Chiroptera; Pteropodidae.